CUACAUUCCGUGGCAGCCUGGCUCCAACAUCCCAGGGAAUUGUGUCACUCCCAUUGAGCAGCUGUGGGGCCCUCUCCCACAUGGCCCAGGUCCACCACUCUGUCAAAGGUCGCACAGCCCAGACAAAAACAGGACACAGCAGUGUGUGAAUGAGCCGGGCUUUCUCCUUCCCUCCACGUAAUAGAAGGUGCCUGAGGUUGUUGAAACACAGUCCAUUUCUCCUGGGAAUGACAAGAAUUUGAGGGAUGCUGACUUUCAAGGAAUACUGCAUGACAGGCAUCAAGAUAAACCUGAUGAAGAAAACAUAGGCCAGAAUCUGGGAAUCGGGAGCAAAGUAAUACAGCUUCGGGGACAGGCACGUAAUGAGGUCAUGAUGUAGGAGACUCCCUGCAGGACUGGCGGCCCCUGUUCCCUGGGUUGUUCUGGCUCUUUCAGAACCUGACCCUGGAACAGGACUGAGCAGGUGCCUGUGUGCACAGAAGACCUUGUGUGAGUCCUUUGGUACCACGUUUGCUGCACGAAUGUCUGAGACACCUCACAGUCGCUUGGUUCAGCCUCUCCCUCCUCUCUCCGCUGGGGAACAUCAUCCCUCAUCACUGGAAGAAAUUACAAGGAUUGUGUAAACAAUUACAAGUAUUCUACAAACAAUUUAUAUGUUAACAAGCUGAAUUCCUGCUUCAUCUGGAGGACUGCACAGUGUAUCUGAGAGAGGAUUUUCAGGAGGCCAGAAAAUCAAGCUGGAGGGAUUUUCAGCGUGUUGGGAGAUUGCUACCUGUUUUAAGUCAGGCCAUUGCCACGUCUUUUUCCCCACCUUGGAGACUUCAGCAAAUUGCUCAAAUGUCGGUGUGCUCUCAUGAACAGAAACGAUGGCACGGUGGGUCCUGGUCUCAAGACUUCCUCUCAAUGAUUCAGAGGUCUUGGGGGUUUUUUGUCUGAAUAUCAGGCAAAGAGGAAGGACGGCUACAAUGGAGGAGUCUCCUACCACGCUUGUGGUCGUCACUGUAGUGCUCAGUUGAAUGGUGUGUCCAUUGGGGUUGGAGUCCCCAUCCUGUUCUGGGUCCUGGCCCCCCACAGGCUCCAGGGACAUAACCCUUCCAGUUCAGGAUCAUGUGCUGGGGCACUGUUCCCUGAGGUGGGACUCUGGGCUGUAACAGCUGCUUUUGAAGCAUGUUCCAGCUUCAACCACGUGCUUGGACGACACCAGCUCUUCCCACAUACUCUUCCCCAGCUCUUGUGUUGAGUUUGGCUUCCACCUUCCUCCAGCUGGGUCUCGCUAUGUUGCCCAAGCCAUUCUGGAGCUCCUGCGCUUAAGUGAUCCUCCUGCCUCAGCCUCCCAAGUAACUGGAAUUAUAAAUGUGAGCCACUGUGCCCAGCAAUUACAAAAUUUUUGGAAUGCAAUUGGGAAGUACAGCUGAAAAACUUCAGCAACGUGGGCUGUUUGAUUGUACAAUCGCACUUCUUGGAAUUUAUCCUACAGAAAUCAGUAGUCAAGUUCACAAAAACUGACAAUAGCCAUUACAGAGAAGCAGAAGAAAGGGAAAUAAAAACAUUCAAACCUACCAACAGGAGAUUGGACAAAUAAAUCAUGUUAUAACUAUACAAUGGGCUAUUAUGUAACCAUUAAAAUGAUCAUCUAUUCUA
RNAcentral lists this long non-coding RNA (1641 nucleotides) under Homo sapiens (human). RNAcentral's name for it is "HSALNT0355855". Lineage: Eukaryota; Metazoa; Chordata; Mammalia; Primates; Hominidae. The record is from RNAcentral.